GGGGUGAUGGCCUACCAAGGCGACGACGGGUAGCCGGCCUGAGAGGGUGAUCGGCCCAUUGGGACUGAGAUACGGCCCAGACUCCUACGGGAGGCAGCAGUGGGGAAUAUUGCACAAUGGGCGGAAGCCUGAUGCAGCGACGCCGCGUGAGGGAUGAAGGCCUUCGGGUUGUAAACCUCUUUCAGCAGGGACGAAGCGUGAGUGACGGUACCUGCAGAAGAAGCACCGGCUAACUACGUGCCAGCAGCCGCGGUAAUACGUAGGGUGCGAGCGUUGUCCGGAAUUACUGGGCGUAAAGAGUUCGUAGGCGGUUUGUCGCGUCGUUUGUGAAAACCCGGGGCUCAACUUCGGGCUUGCAGGCGAUACGGGCAGACUUGAGUGUUUCAGGGGAGACUGGAAUUCCUGGUGUAGCGGUGAAAUGUGCAGAUAUUAGGAGGAACACCGGUGGCGAAGGCGGGUCUCUGGGAAACAACUGACGCUGAGGAACGAAAGCGUGGGUAGCAAACAGGAUUAGAUACCCUGGUAGUCCACGCCGUAAACGGUGGGCGCUA
RNAcentral lists this ribosomal RNA (551 nucleotides) under uncultured Actinomycetes bacterium. RNAcentral's name for it is "bacterial SSU rRNA". It matches the Rfam family "Bacterial small subunit ribosomal RNA", at positions 254 to 818 of the family's 1533-position model. The record is from RNAcentral. Lineage: Bacteria; Bacillati; Actinomycetota; Actinomycetes.